AGAGUUUGAUCCUGGCUCAGAUUGAACGCUGGCGGCAGGCCUAACACAUGCAAGUCGAGCGGAUGAAAGGAGCUUGCUCCUGGAUUCAGCGGCGGACGGGUGAGUAAUGCCUAGGAAUCUGCCUGGUAGUGGGGGACAACGUUUCGAAAGGAACGCUAAUACCGCAUACGUCCUACGGGAGAAAGCAGGGGACCUUCGGGCCUUGCGCUAUCAGAUGAGCCUAGGUCGGAUUAGCUAGUUGGUGAGGUAAAAGCUCACCAAGGCGACGAUCUGUAGCUGGUUUGAGAGAACGACCAGCCACACUGGGACUGAGACACGGCCCAGACUCCUACGGGAGGCAGCAGUGGGGAAUUUUGGACAAUGGGCGAAAGCCUGAUCCAGCAAUGCCGCGUGCAGGAAGAAGGCCUUCGGGUUGUAAACUGCUUUUGUCCGGAAAGAAAUGGUCUGGUCUAAUACCGUGGGGUCAUGACGGUACCGGAAGAAUAAGGACCGGCUAACUACGUGCCAGCAGCCGCGA
RNAcentral lists this ribosomal RNA (517 nucleotides) under uncultured bacterium. RNAcentral's name for it is "bacterial SSU rRNA". It matches the Rfam family "Bacterial small subunit ribosomal RNA", at positions 8 to 520 of the family's 1533-position model. The record is from RNAcentral.